This is a long non-coding RNA of Esox lucius (northern pike), 608 nucleotides long. RefSeq lists it as uncharacterized. The record is from RefSeq and is a predicted model, not a curated record. The transcript is spliced from 3 exons. NCBI's taxonomy places the organism in Eukaryota, Metazoa, Chordata, Actinopteri, Esociformes, Esocidae.
CUCCAGUGUGAUGCCAACAAGGAAGCGGAGGAACAGGUCCAGGUGUCCAUUCUCACUCUCCAAUGUUUUAUCCACUAUCAUAUUCAGCAGCUCAUGAAAGGGCAGUUCUGAAGACACAUCUUCAAUGAAAGACUCCAGGUCCUUGAUGUUCUUGGUCACACAGCAGUGGAAAACAUACAGAGCAGCAAGGAACUCCUGGAAGCUCAGAUUUGUCUGAAUGAGUGUGAGGUGAGCGUACAUCUCAGUCAGAGUUGUGAUAUCUCCACUCUUUCCUUCAGUCAUCAUGUGCUGAAGAACCCUGGCAGUAAUCCAACAGAAGACUGGUAUGUGACACAUGAUGUGGAGGCACACUUCAUGUGUGAGAUGAUACUGUUGGCCUGGUUCUCAUCUCUGAAUCGGUUCUUAAAGUAUUCUUCUUUCUGUUUGUCACUGAACCCUCGUACUUCUGUCACCUUGCUGAUGUACUUACGAGGGAUCUGAUUGGCUGCUGCUUGUCUGGAGGUUAUCCAGAUGAGGGCUUUGGGGAGUAGAUUUCCAUCAAUGAGGUUUGUCAUCAACCUGUCAACUGAAGAUGUCUCAUUUACAUCCCUCAGUUUCUUAUUCUUAUC